Molecule: long non-coding RNA, 176 nt
Organism: Diabrotica virgifera virgifera (western corn rootworm)
Lineage: Eukaryota; Metazoa; Arthropoda; Insecta; Coleoptera; Chrysomelidae
Exons: 2
Source: RefSeq, a predicted model, not a curated record
GGAAGUUGAUUUUAACUCAGCAACAGAUAUUAGUGAGAAAGAAAGUACUCAUACAGCAGCUGUUUCCCCAAAGACUUACAGCGAUUUACAAACGGUUCGGGAAGUGGAAUUUAAUCUAAAAUUACCAGACAUAAUUUAUGAGGUAUAAAAAACCAAAUAAAUAGCAGAUUUCUAAA